RNAcentral lists this ribosomal RNA (119 nucleotides) under Pteropus alecto (black flying fox). Lineage: Eukaryota; Metazoa; Chordata; Mammalia; Chiroptera; Pteropodidae. The record is from RNAcentral.
GUCUACUGCAGUGCCACCCUGAACGUGCCCGAUCUCGUCUGAUCUCGGAAGCUAAGCAGGGUCAGGCCUGGUUAGUACUUGGAUGGGAGACCACCUAGGAAGACCAGGUGCUGUAGGCG